UGAAUAGCUAGGUACCUACCGAUGAUAUAAUGACGUAUAAAUCUUAAAGUAUUCCCUUCUCGGAUAUUACCCAUCAAUAUCUUAUACUAUAUGUAUAAUAUCACAUUUUCUGUUUACCAAUUUUAUGUUCAACUUAUAUAUACGUAAGUAUAUAUUAUAUUAUAAUAUUAUUAUAUGCAAGCUUUACGAGUAUACUAUAUAAAUCGUGUCGUUCUG
Molecule: non-coding RNA, 216 nt
Organism: Cinara cedri
Lineage: Eukaryota; Metazoa; Arthropoda; Insecta; Hemiptera; Aphididae
Source: the annotation of a GenBank genome assembly